UCUCUAAUAGCUUAAUGGUAAAGCCUUUGACUGUUAAUCAAAUAAUUAUAGGUUCAACUCCUAUUUAGAGAG
This 72-nucleotide transfer RNA is filed under the name Guillardia theta. Its description in RNAcentral is "tRNA-Asn". It matches the Rfam family "tRNA". Rfam says of the family: Transfer RNA (tRNA) molecules are approximately 80 nucleotides in length. Their secondary structure includes four short double-helical elements and three loops (D, anti-codon, and T loops). The record is from RNAcentral. Lineage: Eukaryota; Cryptophyceae; Pyrenomonadales; Geminigeraceae.